CAAUAGACAUGUUGAGUUCUACUUCUGCAAUUCCUAUUACAGGUAGCUGAGUGACGUUGAGAUGAUCAGCUGGAAAUGGCAUGGUGAGGUCUACUUCUGCAAUACCCAUGACAGGCCCUCAAGUGAUAUUGGGCAGAUCAUCAGGAGAUGGCCCACUUGUGACGUUGGGAAGAUUAGCUGGAAAGAGUUUUUCUCCUACAAUACGGAUGACAGGCAGUCUAUUGAUAUUGUACCAAUAACCAAGUGAUGGCAACCUCAAUUCCUUCUAUAGGCAUGGAUAGUUCUACUUCUGCAACACACAUUGCAGCUGUCUCAGUAAUUUUGAGGAAACUACAAGAAGGAAUGAUGAGUUCUACUCUUGCCAUAACCAUGGAUAAGCAGUUGAGUGAUUUUGGGCAGAUCACUAGAUAAAACUGGAAAACUAUGUAAAAGCUGGAACAUGACCACUGAAGUAAAAACAAGGAUAGAGAAAACUUGAACAGUAUUCUUCAAAAUGAAAAAGGUCUUCUGUAGUCACAACAUAAGCCUAAGAUUGAAAAUCAGGCUUGUCAGAUGCUAUAUCUUUUCUAUCCUGCUCUAUGGAGUGGAGAGUUGGUCUCUGACAGAAAGCCACUUGAAGAGACUAGAAGCAUUUGAAAUGUGGAUUUACAGACGGCUGUUACAUAUAAGUUGGGUUGACAAAAUCAGAAAUGAGGAGGUGAUAAGCCACCUGGGAAAGCCAAGGGAAAUAAUCAAAACCAUACAAAAGCGAAAGUUAGAAUAUUUUGGACAUAUGAUGUGACACCUUGAAAAAUACGGCAUCCUUCACUUAAUCCUCCAAGAAAAGAUUGAAGGCAAACAAGGUCCAGGCAGACGAAGAACAUCAUGGCUUCAAAAUCUAAAGGAGUGGUUUGGUCAAAACUCAGCAGCACUUUUUCACACGGCUGUCGAUAAAAAUAGGAUCGCCAACAUGAUUGCCAACGUCCGAUGACAGAUAUGGCACAACAACAAGAAGAAGACAGGAAUCUGAAUGACUUUGGGCAGAUCACCAGGAGAUGGUGUGUUUUACUCCUACAAUACAUACGACGGCUGGCUCAGUGACUUUGGAUCAAUCACCAGGAGAUGGCAUGCUGAGUUCCAGUCCUCCAAUACCCAUGUUCAGUGGUUAAGUGAGAUUUGUUCAAUCAAUAGGAGACAGUGGGUUCAUCUCCUAUAAUAUGCAUGACAGGUGGCUGAAUGACUUUGGGCAGAUCACAAGAAGACGGUGAGUUCUACCCCUUCAAUUUGCAUGGCAGCUGGCUGAGUGUAUUUGAGCCAAUCAGUAGGAGAUGGUGAGUUCAAAUCCUGCAAUAUGUAUGACAGACAGCUUUAUGACUUUGGCCAGAUCAGUAAAGGAUGAGUUCUACUUCUGCAAUACGCACAACAGUGACUGAGUGACUUUGGACCAAUAACCAGGAAAAGCCCUAGGAAGGAGCCAAUGGCAAAUCACUUUUCAAAAACCAAGAUGCCAAGAAAAAGUGCACAGAUUUGUUCAGACAGUCUCUGAGAAUUGGAUCUAAUUGAACAGAAGAAAAAAAGAGAGAUGUGGAUGAUGAAGAGACCCUCCUCAGCAUAUCGUGUCCUGGCUAAGACCACAAUGAGGGCUGGGCAGAAGCCCUUUUGGCCCCCCACACAGACCAACAUCCCCUGUUGCAUGAUCUGAAGUCAUCGACUGAAGUGGGACCCAAGCCAUUUCAAUGGGCGGUUGUUGAAUGAGCCAGAACCACUUGAUGCAGCAUUGUAUUAACCAACAAGCAUAGAGUCCCCACAAGCCAUGAAUCUGAACCAAAUUAAUCUGGGCAAGCUGGUUGGGAAUUCUGGGAGUUGAAGUCCCCACAUCUUAAAGUCGCCAAGUUGGAGAAACACCAAUUUAGAGUCUUCCCCAACUCCAGCUGGCUGCAGGCGGCUCAUUUUCCCCAAUGGAAUAAUGAAAAUAAAAAAGAAAUAAACUGACCAUGAGCAUCCAGGAGAUCCUCAGAAAUUCAUAGCAAUCUGUGAGGGCUUCUCUGCCACCCUGCCCCAAAAGCUGGCACUGAGCCCAGCUUUGUAAAGACCUGACCGGCUCACAGAAGAAGUCUACCUGGGAUCAUCAUGAUUCAGUUCAUAAUUUAUUCCUAAUAAAUGUUGCCAGACAAAUCAUGAUA
Molecule: non-coding RNA, 2162 nt
Organism: Pantherophis guttatus
Lineage: Eukaryota; Metazoa; Chordata; Lepidosauria; Squamata; Colubridae
Source: RefSeq, a predicted model, not a curated record